This 515-nucleotide long non-coding RNA is filed under the name Phasianus colchicus (ring-necked pheasant). RNAcentral's name for it is "lncRNA (ENSPCLG00000007753.1)". The record is from RNAcentral. Lineage: Eukaryota; Metazoa; Chordata; Aves; Galliformes; Phasianidae.
CUUCAUUCUAAAGGAAGACACUGAGUUGUUAGAGGUGAGGGAGUUGACUCAGUGGCCUGGCAGCAGGAUUUGAUGAUGUGAUCUGCAGUGCUCCAGGUGUCCUGGUGACUGAGGAUGUCCAGGUUUGAGAAUAAAGACAAAAAUACAUCACACGUGACUGGAAGUGUGUAUUUUUCAGAGGGACAUCUCCACAGAGGUGAACCAGAACUGCCUUUAUUACAGCUGGCUGACAAGGCUCACAAAGCACGGCAGGUCUUUGGGAUCAGGAGAGAAGUCAUGGAGGACGUAGUUGGUCUCCUUGCAGCCCCUUCCACAUGGCCAUGGGUAUCCCUCUGCUGGAUUCAGCACAGCGUCCAUUCAGUGUGUGGAUGAACCUCUGUUGUUACCAAGAACAGAAAACUUGAAAUCAUCCAGAACUCCUUAUGUUCACCACAACUGAAGCAACUGCAGACAGCAAUGCUGAACUGUCAAACCAGAUUAUAGAAAAAAGCAAAGAAGAUACGUCUCUUUGGUAA